GUCGCUAUGGUGGAACAGGCAGACACGCUAUCUUGAGGGGGUAGUGCCGAAAGGCGUAUGGGUUCGACUCCCAUUGGCGACA
RNAcentral lists this transfer RNA (82 nucleotides) under Bacillus sp. M6-12. RNAcentral's name for it is "tRNA-Leu". It matches the Rfam family "tRNA". Rfam says of the family: Transfer RNA (tRNA) molecules are approximately 80 nucleotides in length. Their secondary structure includes four short double-helical elements and three loops (D, anti-codon, and T loops). The record is from RNAcentral. Lineage: Bacteria; Bacillati; Bacillota; Bacilli; Caryophanales; Bacillaceae.